CUGAUGUCCAAGGUUUUCUUAUUUAUAUUCCUAACUUUUUUUGUACACUUUUUUUUUAUUAAUUGAUUGAUUGUUGUGGACCAUGCUUUAAUUGGUCUGUCCAUGAUUGAGAAAAAGUUGAACUGAAAGCUUGAUAUAUACAUCAAGGAAUCAAUUGCAGCAUGUUAACAAAUAAUUUGAUUUUAUUGGUUCUCUGCUCUUUGGUUUUUUUUUAAAUCUAUAUUUAGGGCUCUUUGGAAGGCUAGGUGGGAUAAAGGGGUUUAUAUUCCUCUGAUUGGUUCGUUUACUGGAACGAGAAGCUUGUGCAGUGCUUAUUAAAUAGAUUUUUCUAUUUGAUAAAUAACCAAUCAUCUCAUCUAAUAUAAAACUUUUAAUACCAAUAUACUCUUGGCCAAACUUCAGCAGUUUUCACUAACCUAUCAGCCAUACAUUUUUUCAAUCUUCAAAGCCUCAAGCAUUCUGCAUAGAUUGGUGGUUCUAGGCAAGUGGAAUAGUGGAGCGAUGUGAGAAAAGUUGCACUCGCACGAACCAAUUAGCAUUUAGGACAAGAUGUCAAAAGAUGGAUCAUGGAACUUUGAAGUAGAUGUAGAUAGAAGAAAGUAGUGAUGUUGAAAGAAGAGGAGUCGCACGCAAUAAAGAUUUCGGUUGUGAACACUAAAAGGCAAGAACCAAUUAGCAUUUGAAGACAUGAUAUUGAAAGAUGUAAAAUGGAACUUGGAUUGGAAAUAGAUAGAAGAAAGUAGUGAUAUUUGAAGUCCUAGGACCUCGACUAUCGAAAUCAUGAUGGUGGAAUAAUAAAAGAUGGUGAAACCUUUAAAGAGUAUAAGAACUAACAAAUCUAUUAGAAAAUGAGUUGGGUAAACCUUAGCAAACCAAUUAGAGAUGUAGGAGGAGAAAGAAAUGUAUAAGUUAGGAGAAAUGUAUAAGCUUAUCGGCUUAAAUUAGUUUAAGUGUGUUAGAGGCGAUUUGCAACAAGUUUGAAAAGAGAUAGCGAGAUCAAAGAGAGAUGGAGAUUCCAUAUUGAUCAAUUGCUCAACUCAAAUAACAAGGAUAACCUUAUAGAUCUCAUACAUGCAUGCAAAUGAUCAGGGUAGAGAUAGGCUGGUCUUAGACCAGAGCCAAAAUCACUCAAUUUCAAGGCAUCACUAUAUUACAAUUUUGAAUCUGGCAUAAUCUGGAGAAAAUAUGGGAUAAAUCCAAUCUAACCUAAUAUGUAGGCUAAUCUUCCCUACUAAAUGACCCACCUCUAAUGGUUAUGGAGGACACUAAAUUGCCUAUUUAGUGAUUGACCUUCUGUUCUUUCAAUAAUUUCUGACUUGGUCUUUUGGUUGUGUGUCGUUGAUGCAUUGGACUUACCCCUGAAUGUAAUUUAAGUUUCUCAAGUGAAAAUGAUUUCCCUAGCAAUGUUAACAAGUUAUUGAAGUUACCCUAAGUACCUAACCCCCCCCC
Long non-coding RNA from Lycium ferocissimum, 1449 nucleotides. RefSeq lists it as uncharacterized. The transcript is spliced from 2 exons. NCBI's taxonomy places the organism in Eukaryota, Viridiplantae, Streptophyta, Magnoliopsida, Solanales, Solanaceae. The record is from RefSeq and is a predicted model, not a curated record.